Molecule: ribosomal RNA, 495 nt
Filed under: uncultured bacterium
Lineage: Bacteria
Description: partial 16S ribosomal RNA
Rfam family: Bacterial small subunit ribosomal RNA
Source: RNAcentral
GACGAACGCUGGCGGCGUGCCUAAUACAUGCAAGUAGAACGCUGACGGAGGAGCUUGCUUCUCUGGAUGAGUUGCGAACGGGUGAGUAACGCGUAGGUAACCUGCCUGGUAGCGGGGGAUAACUUUUGGAAACGAUAGCUAAUACCGCAUAAGAGUCGAUGUUGCAUUACAUUUACUUAAAAGGUGCAAUUGCAUCACUACCAGAUGCACCUGCGUUGUUUUAGGUAGUUGGUGGGGGAAAGGCUCACCAAGGCGACGGUACAUCGGCGGCCUGAGAGGGUGGUCGGGCAAACUUGGAACUGAGCAACGGCCCAGCUUCUUCGGGGAGGAAGAGUAGGGGAACAUCGGCAAUUGGCGGAAAUCUUACCGAACAACGCCCGGGGAGGUAAGAAAGUUUUUGGGGUGUAAAAGUCUGUUGGAUGGGAAGAACGAGCAGGAGGUUAGAAAGUUCACGCUGUGACGGUACCUAAACAAUAAGCAACGGCUAACUACGUG